RNAcentral lists this ribosomal RNA (735 nucleotides) under Triticum aestivum (bread wheat). Its description in RNAcentral is "partial small subunit ribosomal RNA". Lineage: Eukaryota; Viridiplantae; Streptophyta; Magnoliopsida; Poales; Poaceae. The record is from RNAcentral.
AUGCAUGAAGGUACCGACUCCGUCAAGGAAUCCAAGUUGGAUGUGCUCCAAAGUCAGCUUGACAAGUUCAAAAUGAAGGAUGGUGAAGGUGUCGCUGGAAUGUACUCUAGGCUUGCUCUUAUCACAAAUGAGAUUGCUGGCUUAAGGAGUGAAGAGAUGACCGACAGAUUCAUCAUCAAGAAAAUCCUAAGAGCAUUGGAUGGAAAAUAUGGUAUCGUGUGCACAUUGAUUCAAAUGAUGACCAAUUACAAAAAUCUCAAGCCAACGGAAGUCAUUGGUAGAAUUGUUGCUCAUAAGAUGUCACUCAAGGAUAAGGAGAAACUUCACAACAAGUCAAGUGGUGCUUACAAAGCCUCAUGUGAAGCUCCUACAUUAUCAAGUGAGAAACAAACCUUCAAUGAAGAAUUGAGCUUAAUGGUGAAGAAUUUCAACAAAUUCUACAAGAGUAGAAGCAAAGAAAGAAGCUCUAAGUCAAGGUCUUACAAUGACAAGAGAUCUUCUAGUCGAGAGCGCAAUUGCUAUAAUUGUGGGAGACCCGGACACUAUUCCAAUGAGUGUACGACAUCCUACAAAAGAAGAGAAGAUUCUCCUAAGAGAAGAAGUAGAAGAGAAGAAUCACCGCCAAGAGAGAGGAGGAGUAGAGAUGAUCGUUAUGAACGAAGAACAUCCUGGAGAAGCAAGGAUUCGGAAAGGAAGGACAGGUCAUCAAAGAGCUACACAAAACGAAGACAUUAA